CCUACGGGUGGCAGCAGUCGAGAAUCAUUCACAAUGGGGGAAACCCUGAUGGUGCGACGCCGCGUGGGGGAAUGAAGGUCUUCGGAUUGUAAACCCCUGUCAUGUGGGAGCAAAUUAAAAAGAUAGUACCCCAAGAGGAAGAGACGGCUAACUCUGUGCCAGCAGCCGCGGUAAUACAGAGGUCUCAAGCGUUGUUCGGAAUCACUGGGCGUAAAGCGUGCGUAGGCUGUUUCGUAAGUCGUGUGUGAAAGGCGCGGGCUCAACCCGCGGACGGCACAUGAUACUGGGAGACUAGAGUAAUGGAGGGGGAACCGGAAUUCUCGGUGUAGCAGUGAAAUGCGUAGAUAUCGAGAGGAACACUCGUGGCGAAGGCGGGUUCCUGGACAUUAACUGACGCUGAGGCACGAAGGCCAGGGGAGCGAAAGGGAUUAGAUACCCUUGUAGUC
RNAcentral lists this ribosomal RNA (446 nucleotides) under uncultured bacterium. RNAcentral's name for it is "partial 16S ribosomal RNA". It matches the Rfam family "Bacterial small subunit ribosomal RNA", at positions 338 to 795 of the family's 1533-position model. The record is from RNAcentral.